Long non-coding RNA from Meriones unguiculatus (Mongolian gerbil), 902 nucleotides. RefSeq lists it as uncharacterized. The transcript is spliced from 3 exons. The record is from RefSeq and is a predicted model, not a curated record. NCBI's taxonomy places the organism in Eukaryota, Metazoa, Chordata, Mammalia, Rodentia, Muridae.
UGAGGCGCAUCUCGCUGGGUGUCUGCAAAUGCAUUCCUUGAGGUGGGGGGGAAGGUACGCCCUGAAUCUGGGCCAUGCCACGUCAUGGGCUCCAGGCAGGAUGAAAUAAAAGAAGGAAAGAGGGAAGCAGCUCACUUCUUGCUUCAGCUUCAUGGACAUAUGGAGUUCUCCACCGCACACACUCCUGACACCAGGAAGGUUUGCCCGUGAGGAUGGAGCCAAGCAACCAUGGACCGAUCUUUCUUCCUAAACCAAGAGGAGAAUGGCAAGAGGGAGUCUGACAGGAAGUGAGGAUUCGAGACUUCAAACACAAACAUUAUGAAAAACAAGCAACAUCUGCAAACAACACUCUUGCUGAGGCACUUCCUGGACGGUGGAGCGGAACUGAGCAGGCUCCGAGCAGCAGGCAGCCCUCGGCGCAAGCCUUCAGCAGCCUUAAUAUUUAGCGAUGAUCCCAGUAAUGACUUACCGGAUGAGUCGAAGAAUACUCGACUCAUUUCAGCAGUCAUUGGGUACCGGCUCACUGGGACCUUUCCGCUUUGGAAAGGUCCUGCAAGGCAGAAGAGAGACUCCCAUGUGAAGAAUAUAUUGUUGUUUUGGCAAAUUGUAAACAAAAUCCCCACCCCCACCCCCUUUCCCCCUGGGACUGGCCUGGCUGUGUCUGGUUUGACAGAAGUUUCUAGCUGCGAUUCUUCUGACUGCCUCUGCCACAAUCCUGGAAAUUCUAGAGGGACAGCACGCAUGAGCUGCUGUGGAAUCCGUGCCUUGUGGAAUCUUAAAUAGAAUGAAACAGGCCCCCAACAAUCAAUAUUACUGACAAAUUAAUCUCUGCAAAUAAACUGUUGUGCAUGUCAAGACUGCUCCAAGUCCCCAGAAUAAUUGUGUCAAGGAAGUUGAGGUCU